Molecule: ribosomal RNA, 497 nt
Filed under: uncultured bacterium
Lineage: Bacteria
Description: partial 16S ribosomal RNA
Rfam family: Bacterial small subunit ribosomal RNA
Source: RNAcentral
GAUGAACGCUGGCGGCGUGCCUAAUACAUGCAAGUCGAGCGAACAGACGAGGAGCUUGCUCCUCUGACGUUAGCGGCGGACGGGUGAGUAACACGUGGAUAACCUACCUAUAAGACUGGGAUAACUUCGGGAAACCGGAGCUAAUACCGGAUAAUAUAUUGAACCGCAUGGUUCAAUAGUGAAAGACGGCUUUGCUGUCACUUAUAGAUGGAUCCGCGCCGCAUUAGCUAGUUGGUAAGGUAACGGCUUACCAAGGCAACGCUGCGUAGCCGACCUGAGAGGGUGAUCGGCCACACUGGAACUGAGACACGGUCCAGACUCCUACGGGAGGCAGCAGUAGGGAAUCUUCCGCAAUGGGCGAAAGCCUGACGGAGCAACGCCGCGUGAGUGAUGAAGGUCUUCGGAUCGUAAAACUCUGUUAUUAGGGAAGAACAAAUGUGUAAGUAACUAUGCACGUCUUGACGGUACCUAAUCAGAAAGCCACGGCUAACUACGUG